Molecule: ribosomal RNA, 468 nt
Filed under: uncultured bacterium
Lineage: Bacteria
Description: partial 16S ribosomal RNA
Rfam family: Bacterial small subunit ribosomal RNA
Source: RNAcentral
GACGAACGCUGGCGGCGUGCUUAACACAUGCAAGUCGAACGGAAAGGCCCUGCUUUUGUGGGGUGCUCGAGUGGCGAACGGGUGAGUAACACGUGAGUAACCUGCCCUUGACUUUGGGAUAACUUCAGGAAACUGGGGCUAAUCCCGGAUAGGCGCUCCUGCUGCAUGGUGGGGGUUGGAAAGUUUCGGCGGUUGGGGAUGGACUCGCGGCUUAUCAGCUUGUUGGUGGGGUAGUGGCUCACCAAGGCGUUGACGGGUAGCCGGCCUGAGAGGGUGACCGGCCACAUUGGGACUGAGAUACGGCCCAGACUCCUACGGGAGGCAGCAGUGGGGAAUAUUGCACAAUGGGCGGAAGCCUGAUGCAGCAACGCCGCGUGCGGGAUGACGGCCUUCGGGUUGUAAACCGCUUUCGCCUGUGACGAAGCGUGAGUGACGGUAAUGGGUAAAGAAGCACCGGCUAACUACGUG